UUUUCUUAGUUCGAGGAAUUAAUUCAAAAACCCCAUUGUUAGGGUUAUUGUUUUUCCUUAAACGACGUUACUCUCCCGUCGUUAUCUCUCAUCCAAGAACGACCGGAUCGUCUUCUUCUUGGACUUCAACGUCAUCAGACCAGCCACCUCCAUCGAUCAGACCGGCUUCGUCUCCAGACUAGACCGCCGUCGUCUUCCUUGAUUCAGACCCAAUCACCUUCUUUCUGCAACAGAUUCGGCAUCAAACCAGAUCGUCGUCCAUCCUCCAUCGCCCAAACCCGGCAUCAGAUCCGUCGUAUCCGCUGUUGCUACUCUAGUCCAGUCGCUCGUCUUCAGCCCAAGAUCGCCGUCACUCAUCGUGCCCAGUCGGCUUCGUCUUCAGCCCGAGACCGCCGCCGCCAUCUCUCAUCAACCCAGAUCGGCGUCAUCCUCUCUUGAUCCAGCCCGGCGUCGUUCUUGGUUACCAGCCCAGAAUCGUUCCUCCUCCUUGAUUACUAGACCGGCGUCUGCAAUCAAAGCUUCUGCAGUCAAAGCGACCGGACCCGAGCUACAAGGCGACACGUGCAACAAGUCAACCCGACCCGUGCAACAGGUUCCAAAAAAAAAAAAAAAAACUGCAUGUUCUAUUAUUAUUCUUUUUAAGUCUUUUGUCUGUUUUCCGCUGCAUACUUUGGGAUUUGUGUGUUGUUUGCUAUUGUCCUAUGGCAAUGGGUGGUGAUGACAGUGAAGGUCAGAGUUCCAAGAUCCAUGAGGUCCAGAAGGUUGAGGUUUCUGUCCCACAAGGCUUCACCAACCGCCCUUGUCCUCAAUGCUCUUAUUGCAAUGACCUUGGACAUGUUCGAGAGACUUGUUGGAAGCUGAACGGGUACCCUAAAAAGAAGGGUUAUCGUCCUAAAGCGAAGGCAGCUGCGGUUCAGCUAGUCCACGAACCAGACUUUUAUGGUGUGGCCGGACAGGAUCAUCGUACGACAGGUGGGGCUACUCCUACAGCCUCUAUAGUUGGUCGUGGAUCUUCUCACCAGGGAGGUAAUCGGUCGGGGGUAUCUGAGGGGCAGGUUGUUCCAUCUGGAUCAGACAUACGCAGGGGAGAAACCAGGAGCACAGUCCCGCGCCGCUUUGACUUCGAGUUCUGAUAAGCUAAGUGAAAUUUGGUUGUGGCAUCGCCGUUUAGGGCAUCCCUCUUUUAGUCUCAUGAGAAAAACCAUGCCUACUUUGUUUAUUGGUGUGGAUGAGUCUGUCUUACAUUGUGAAAUAUGUGUUUUGGCCAAGAGUCAUCGUGCUACUUAUUCUCCUAGUAUUUCUAAUAAGAGUGUUAUUCCUUUGAGUUGAUUCAUUCUGAUGUUUGGGGACCUUCUAGAGAGCCUACCGUAUCGGGUAUGAGAUACUUUGUGUUGUUUAUUGAUGAUUGUACGAGAUUGUCAUGGGUUGCUCUUCUUAAAACCAAAGAUGAAGUAUUUCCAGCUAGCUUUUCAAACCUUUCGCACUCUUGUUCAAACACAAUACCAUAGCACCAUUAAAGUUCUUCGUUCAGACAAUGGGGGAGAAUAUGUUAAUCAUGUUUUCCAUGAUUUUUUUAAAACCCAUGGGAUUGUUCACCUAGCUACAUGUCCACAAACACCAGAACAAAAUGGAGUGUCCGAAAGGAAAAACCGUCAUUUACUUGAUAUGGCUUGUGCCCUUCUUUUUAGUGCUCAUAUGCCUAAGUAUCUUUGGGGUGAUGCUGUAUAUGCUUCCUCCCAUCUUAUCAAUCGUCUUCCAUCUAGUGUCCUUCAGGGAAAAAUUCCCUUUGAGCUCCUUGGUUAUAAUUCCUUGUAUGCCGUGAUUCGGCUAAAAGCGCCAAAAUUUUCAGCCAAAUAUUAAACUUCCCUCUCGAAUGAAAAAGAGAUAGAAGGCCGGUCAAACUCUGCUCACUCUCUCCCUCUCUCUCUCAAAAUCUCCUCCCGCUCCAAAACCCUAACCAUUGCCGCCGCUCCUUCUCCUCCACUCGCAACCCAAUCCCAGCCGCCCAGCCUUCCCUCCUCGUCUUCUCCGGCGGAACCGCCUUCAACGGCGUCGUCGAGGAGCUCAAGAACUUCACCACUCGCGUCGCCCACUUGCUUCCCGUUUCAAAGCACUGCCGAGAUUGUCCGCGUCCUUGAGAUUGGCCGGUAAAAACACCUCCGAGGCAGUCGCCGUCCGGCAAUUGCUUGGCCGGCCAAAAUCUCAAACCAGCUCUCCACCUCCGCCAAAAUUAGGUCGCUCUCCGACCUCUCGAUCAUCAAAUCGGCCUCUGCCUUGCCUUUGCUCCUUGCAGCUCAGUUCGGUCAGUGAUCGAGGAUCGAGGGUUUUCAAUUUGAUUUUUUUUUUUUUUUGAAUUUGAUGCCAGCAUUCGUUCAAUUUAAUCCAUUUGUAUAUGUUAUUUGGUCGAUUUGGACUUGUAUAUCAGUUUAAUUUGAUUCUUUUCUUUUAAAUUUACUGAAUUGCAAUUUCAAGUUUGAAUUUUGAUCGCCUACUUGAAUUUGGUGAAUUUUGUUCAGGUGAUCUUAUAUUCCGUGCAGAAAAGAGACCUUCCUUGAUCUUAUUACUUCUGAUUUGGCCGAGUUCCAGUUUACAGAAGGUAGCCGGGAGCUCUGAGUACCAACUGGACUAGAGUGAGAUCAGUUCAUGGAACUGGCUUUGUACACCACAUAGCUAACUCAAAAGGCUUUGUACACCAUAUAUUCUAGUGGUUGAGCAUAUAUAUAUAUAGGGCAUGCACAUGUUAAGACCAGAUACAAAGCUGCUUUAUAAGUUGAAGCUUUUGUUGGUUCUCUUGCAAGGGAAACAAGAGUUAAGUAGGUGAAUAAAAGAAAAGAGAGAAAACAGAUCAUGUUUCUGAAUUGAUCAGCAGAUUAUGAGUUUACAAUUUAUUAUUAAAUUGUGUGGAAAGAAAUGGGCUGUCUACUAUUGCUUCAAGUAAGUCCAGAUUAUACUUUUGAUUUGCAGGGCAUGCAUACCUUUGUGUUGCUUAUGAUAUAUGUUUUGCUGCUAGUUGUGUGAUUAUGUUGGUGGCAAGACUCAUACUAUGCAUUAGAGUCAUUAAGCUUUAUUGGUUAUGUAGCUAAUGUUCCAUUCCUAGGUGUUUAUAUACAUAAC
RNA transcript from Rosa rugosa (rugosa rose), 3114 nucleotides. RefSeq lists it as uncharacterized. The transcript is spliced from 4 exons. The record is from RefSeq and is a predicted model, not a curated record. Lineage: Eukaryota; Viridiplantae; Streptophyta; Magnoliopsida; Rosales; Rosaceae.